CCUACGGGUGGCAGCAGUGGGGAAUAUUGCACAAUGGGGGAAACCCUGAUGCAGCGACGCCGCGUGAGUGAAGAAGGAUUUCGGGAUGUAAAGCUCUAUCAGCAGGGAGGAAAAUGACGGUACCUGAUCAAGAAGCCCCGGAUAACUACGUGCCAGCAGCCGCGGUAAUACGCAGGGGGCGAGCGUGAUCCGGAUUUACUGGGUGUAACGGGAGCGUAGACGGCAGCGCAAGUCUGAAGUGAAAUGCCCGGGCUUAACCCCGGAACUGCUUUUGAUACUGGCCAGCUAGAGUGCAGUAGAGGUAAGUGGAAUUCCUAGUGUAGCGGUGAAAUGCGUAGAGAUGAGGAGGAACACCAGUGGCGAAGGCGGCUUACUGGACUGUAACUGACGUUGAGGCUCGAAAGCGUGGGGAGCAAACAGGAUUAGAUACCCUAGUAGUC
RNAcentral lists this ribosomal RNA (440 nucleotides) under uncultured bacterium. RNAcentral describes it as "partial 16S ribosomal RNA". It matches the Rfam family "Bacterial small subunit ribosomal RNA", at positions 338 to 795 of the family's 1533-position model. The record is from RNAcentral.